Molecule: ribosomal RNA, 497 nt
Filed under: uncultured bacterium
Lineage: Bacteria
Description: partial 16S ribosomal RNA
Rfam family: Bacterial small subunit ribosomal RNA
Source: RNAcentral
GAUGAACGCUGGCGGCGUGCCUAAUACAUGCAAGUCGAGCGAACAGACCCGGCGCUUGCUCCUCUCACGUUAGCCGCGGACGGGUGAGUCACACGUGUAUCACCUACCUAUAAUACUGGUAUCACUUCGGGAAACCGGAUCUAAUACCGUAUGAUCUCCUGAACCGUGGUGUUCAAUAGUGAAAUACGGCUGUUCGGGAACGUCUCGCUGGAUCUGGGCUGCAUUGGCUAGUUGGUAGGUUAACGGCUUACCAAGGCAACGAUGCGUAGCCGACGUGAGAGAGGGGUCGGCGACACGGGAAGUGAGACGCGGACCAGAGGCCUACGGGAGGGAGCAGAAGGCAAUGUGCCGCAAUGGGCGAAAGCAUGACGGAGCGGCGCGGCGUGAGUGAUAGAGGUCUUCGGAGCGUAAAACUCUGUUAUGAGGGAUGAACAGAUGUGGAAGUAAAUAUGCACGGCUUGACGGUACCGAGUCAGAAAGCAACGGCUAACUACGUG